GACGUAGGGUGCGAGCGUUGUCCGGAUUUAUUGGGCGUAAAGAGCGUGUAGGCGGCCAUUCAGGUCAGCUGUGAAAACUCGAGGCUCAACCUCGAGACGGCGGUUGAAACCGUUUGGCUAGAGUCCGGAAGAGGAGAGUGGAAUUCCCGGUGUAGCGGUGAAAUGCGUAGAGAUCGGGAGGAACACCAGUGGCGAAGGCGACUACCUGGACCAGCACUGACACUGAGGCACGAAAGCCAGGGUAGCGAAUGGG
This 253-nucleotide ribosomal RNA is filed under the name uncultured bacterium. RNAcentral describes it as "partial 16S ribosomal RNA". It matches the Rfam family "Bacterial small subunit ribosomal RNA", at positions 524 to 776 of the family's 1533-position model. The record is from RNAcentral.